UUUUCCCACUUUCAGAAAUGGUGAACCAUAUUAGAACAUAUUGUACAGUCAGUCUGAGCAAACAUUUGUCCAACGUUGAGUAAUCUUUACUUUAAGGCCUUAAGAAAUUUUAAUUCUGCCACAAAACAAUCUGAAGAAUAAAUUGUUUAAAAAGAAAGAAAAAUAACCUGCCUUCUCUCAUAUUCAAGUGAAUGUUGUGACAAGGGUCAUGCUAGUCUACUAUGGUAGAUGGUCUAUUAUUAAGUGUCUACUGAAGUAUAUCUUUCCAUAAUUAUUUCAUAAUUUCCUGCUCUUUUAACUUGAGCUAGGAUAAACCCAUAGCUAGGACAAUUCUGUUUCUGAAUAAAGUCAACUGAAUGUAGGCUUGAGUAUGCAAUUAGUGGAUUGUUCAGGAUUUUCCCUGCUGGCUCUCUUGCCACUAUGUUUUGGCCAUUCUGGUACUCAGUACCUCUGCCAGGGUGGUAGGAGAGAAAAUAAUGCAGAUACAUUCAACAAUUUGUUUUUCUCUUUUCUAACAGGACUAAUUUCCAGUGUUGGCUUUAAUUAGAUUUGAGGACUACUUCUAGGUUUCAUUUAUUUGAACUCUCCCCCAUCUUCUUUUAUAGAUUCCUCCUUAGUGACAAAAAUUCUGUCUCAAAAAGAAAAGUCGCCAGAGAUGGACAAACUGGAGGACGACUCUGCACCUGAUGUUUAAGAGGAAGUGCAGCUCCUCUUUUCUCCAGCGACUUUUUCUUUUUCAGACAGAAUCUCUCACUGUCGCCCAGGCUGGAGUGCAAUGGCGCGAUCUCGCCACACUCCAACCUCCGCCUCCCGGGUUCAAUUGAGUCUCCUGCCUCAGCCUCCCAAGUACCUGGGACUGCCACCAUGCCCAGCUAAUUUUUGUAUUUUACUUGAGACAGCGUUUCUCCAUGUUGACCAGACUGGUCUCGAACUGCUGACCUCAGAUGAUCCGCCAGCCUCAGCCUCCCAAACUGCUGAGAUUACAGGCGUAAGCCACCGCACCCGGCAAAGACCUGUAGUUCUAACUCACAAGUUCAGGCAUUAGUAUGAACAGCAGGAAAUCCUCAUUGGGAUUUUAUUUGUACAAAGCUUCAAAGACUUCCUGGGAGGGACGCGGUGGCUCACACCUGUAAUCCCAGCAGGCCGAGGGGAGCAGAUCAGUUGAGGUCAGGAGUUCAAGACCAGCCUGAGCAAUAUGGUGAAAUCCCGUCUUUAUCAAAAAGACAAAAAUUAGCCGGGCGUGGUGGCACAUGCCUGUAAUCCCAGUUACUUGGGAGGUUAAAGUAGGAGAAUCGCUUGAUCCCAGGAGGUGGAGGGUGCCAUGAACCGAGAUCAGGCCACUGUACUCCAGCCUGGGCGAAAGAGCGAAACCCUGUCUCAAAAAAAAAAAAAAAAAAAAAAAA
RNAcentral lists this long non-coding RNA (1403 nucleotides) under Macaca fascicularis (crab-eating macaque). RNAcentral's name for it is "lncRNA (ENSMFAG00000055832.1)". The record is from RNAcentral. Lineage: Eukaryota; Metazoa; Chordata; Mammalia; Primates; Cercopithecidae.